RNAcentral lists this ribosomal RNA (468 nucleotides) under uncultured bacterium. RNAcentral describes it as "partial 16S ribosomal RNA". It matches the Rfam family "Bacterial small subunit ribosomal RNA", at positions 28 to 507 of the family's 1533-position model. The record is from RNAcentral.
GACGAACGCUGGCGGCGUGCUUAACACAUGCAAGUCGAACGGAAAGGCCCUGCUUUUGUGGGGUGCUCGAGUGGCGAACGGGUGAGUAACACGUGAGUAACCUGCCCUUGACUUUGGGAUAACUUCAGGAAACUGGGGCUAAUACCGGAUAGGAGCUCCUGCUGCAUGGUGGGGGUUGGAAAGUUUCGGCGGUUGGGGAUGGACUCGCGGCUUAUCAGCUUGUUGGUGGGGUAGUGGCUUACCAAGGCUUUGACGGGUAGCCGGCCUGAGAGGGUGACCGGCCACAUUAGGACUGAGAGACGGACCAGACUCCUACGGGAGGCAGCAGUGGGGAGUAUUGCACAGUGGGCGGAAGCCUGAUGCAGCAACGCCGCGUGCGGGAUGACGGCCUUCGGGGUGUAAACCGCUGUCGCCUGUGACGAAGCGUGAGUGACGGUAAUGGGUAAAGAAGCACCGGCUAACUACGUG